Molecule: non-coding RNA, 235 nt
Filed under: Bacillus sp. (in: firmicutes)
Lineage: Bacteria; Bacillati; Bacillota; Bacilli; Caryophanales; Bacillaceae
Description: Bacillus sp. T-box sequence
Rfam family: T-box leader
About the family: Uncharged tRNA acts as the effector for transcription antitermination of genes in the T-box leader family. T-boxes are found upstream of many aminoacyl-tRNA synthetase genes and some amino acid biosynthetic genes usually in Gram-positive bacteria.
Source: RNAcentral
UGAAAAGCUUUGAAUGGGAAGAGUAUGUGAUUAAGACUGUAAGAGAGAGGAAUCCAUCGGCUGUAAGAUUCCUUCAGUAACCGUAAUCGCAGAAGGUCGCCCGGGAGCUGUUUCCGUGAACGUCAAUAGUAGCGGAUAACCGGUGAAGAGCCGUUAACGAAAUGAAGUGCCGAUAUAACAGUUAUUUGUAUUGGAACAAAGGUGGUACCGCGAGACAUACCGUUUCGUCCUUUUU